AUUGGAUUUUAACUAAAUUUUAGUAAUUUGGCAAACAUCUCAGGAUUAUUCACUUGUUUGAAUUGUAGGGGAAUUCAAAGUGAAUUUGACAUUUUAGACCAAAAUAGUCAAGCCUGAAAAGUCAGCUAUUCUAUAUUUCCAGUUUACCUAUUCUGGCCUGAAAUUCAUUCAUUUCCUAACAAUUCACAGUUUAGCGAAUAACCCAAUGUAUGUCUGCAUAUACAGCAACAUCCAUGCACUUACCCUGUUUUUAUACACUGACUUUAAGCUACACAACCACACAC
Molecule: non-coding RNA, 284 nt
Organism: Pelobates cultripes (western spadefoot toad)
Lineage: Eukaryota; Metazoa; Chordata; Amphibia; Anura; Pelobatidae
Source: the annotation of a GenBank genome assembly